Etheostoma cragini (Arkansas darter) is the source of this 94-nucleotide long non-coding RNA. RefSeq lists it as uncharacterized. The transcript has 3 exons. NCBI's taxonomy places the organism in Eukaryota, Metazoa, Chordata, Actinopteri, Perciformes, Percidae. The record is from RefSeq and is a predicted model, not a curated record.
ACGACCAGCCGCGGCUCGCCUUGCGCAUGAGGCGGCACUAAUCUGCAGUGGAAACAGGAGGACGGGGCACAGCGGUCGAGCAGAGGAGAGUUGA